This 253-nucleotide ribosomal RNA is filed under the name uncultured bacterium. RNAcentral's name for it is "partial 16S ribosomal RNA". It matches the Rfam family "Bacterial small subunit ribosomal RNA", at positions 524 to 776 of the family's 1533-position model. The record is from RNAcentral.
UACGUAGGGUGCGAGCGUUGUCCGGAAUUACUGGGCGUAAAGAGCUCGUAGGUGGUUUGUCGCGUUGUUCGUGAAAACCGGGGGCUUAACCCUCGGCGUGCGGGCGAUACGGGCAGACUGGAGUACUGCAGGGGAGACUGGAAUUCCUGGUGUAGCGGUGAAAUGCGCAGAUAUCAGGAGGAACACCGGUGGCGAAGGCGGGUCUCUGGACAGUUCCUGACACUGAGGCACGAAGGCCAGGGGAGCAAACGGG